RNAcentral lists this ribosomal RNA (807 nucleotides) under uncultured archaeon. Its description in RNAcentral is "bacterial SSU rRNA". It matches the Rfam family "Archaeal small subunit ribosomal RNA", at positions 85 to 876 of the family's 1478-position model. The record is from RNAcentral.
ACGGCUCAGUAACACGUGGCUAACCUACCCUUAGGACGGGGACAACCCCGGGAAACUGGGGCUGACAUCGAUAGGUGAGGAGGCCUGGAAUGGUUCCUCCCUGAAAAGGCGUUGAAACCAUGCUUUUCAGCGUCGCCUAAGGAUGGGGCCGCGCCCGAUCAGGUUGUUGGUGGGGUAACGGCUCACCAAGCCAUUAACCGGUACGGGCCGUGAGAGCGGGAGCCCGGAGAUGGGCACUGAGACAAGGGCCCAGGCCCUACGGGGCGCAGCAGUCGCGAAAACUCCGCAAUGCGCGAAAGCGUGACGGGGCUACCCCGAGUGCCGUCCGCUGAGGAUGGCUUUUCCCCAGUGUAAUGAGCCGGGGGAAUAAGGAGAGGGCAAGACUGGUGUCAGCCGCCGCGGUAAUACCAGCUCUCCGAGUGGUAGGGACAAUUAUUGGGCUUAAAGCGUCCGUAGCCGGCUUGGCAAGUCUCCUGUUAAAUUCAGCGACUUAAUCGUUGAGCCGCGGGAGAUACUACUAGGCUAGGAGGCGGGAGAGGCCGACGGUAUUCCCGGGGUAGGGGUGAAAUCCUAUAAUCCCGGGAGGACCACCAGUGGCGAAGGCUGUCGGCUAGAACGCGCUCGACGGUGAGGGACGAAAGCUGGGGGAGCGAACCGGAUUAGAUACCCGGGUAGUCCCAGCCGUAAACGAUGCGGGCUAGGUGUUGAGGUGGCUACGAGCCACUUCAGUGCCGCAGGGAAGCCAUUAAGCCCGCCGCCUGGGGAGUACGGCCGCGAGGCUGAAACUUAAAGGAAUUGGCGGGGGAG